This is a long non-coding RNA of Micropterus salmoides (largemouth bass), 311 nucleotides long. RefSeq lists it as uncharacterized. The record is from RefSeq and is a predicted model, not a curated record. The transcript has 2 exons. Lineage: Eukaryota; Metazoa; Chordata; Actinopteri; Centrarchiformes; Centrarchidae.
CUCCCCAGCCUGCCACACCUGCCAGUAAUCAACCUCAUCCCUGCCCGUAUAUCAACCCCGGUUCUCCACACCAUCUUCGCUUGAUCAUCGUUGCUCCCAACCUGGUUCACUCUCCCUAGUCCUCCGUUCAGUUGGCUAGGCUCGUCCUCCGGUCCUCUCCUCUCGGGCUUCCUCCACGGCGCCCUCCCGGCUCCCCCUGAUCCUCGCCUGCUCCUCGUUCCUCUGUGUCCACGUCCCCCGGCGUCCACCUCACCUCCAUCUCCUCUUCUCUAGCCCCUCUGUAAUCUCUCAAUAAACCUCCUUCCCACUGA